This is a long non-coding RNA of Passer domesticus (house sparrow), 1996 nucleotides long. RefSeq lists it as uncharacterized. NCBI's taxonomy places the organism in Eukaryota, Metazoa, Chordata, Aves, Passeriformes, Passeridae. The transcript is spliced from 4 exons. The record is from RefSeq and is a predicted model, not a curated record.
CCUAAAAUUAGACACACAUGCCUGGAAGCCUAUGACCAUAAAAUACCUCUGAAGGAAUGGUGGUUCACAGAAUCAUCUAAUUUUUACUUUCCCCAUUUUUGCAGCUGAGUUUUUGGAUGCACCAGAAAUUAAACCAGCUGCCUGAAAUCGCAUGGUGAUGGGCAUGGAGGGUUUUGAAGCAGAGUUUAAGAAUGGUCUAAACCUCCAGUGGUGGCCACUGUCCCUUGGUGCUAGGUUUGGAGCACAGCCCACUUCAUUAAACCGAGGUGGGAAACCUGAGCUGAAAAGGGAGUCGAACAUAAUCUGUUGUCUGAUCUGAAAGGUGGUGCUGGGUUAAACUUGGGCUGUGAGCGGUUGAAUAGUACAGAAUGUUAUUUACAGCAUUUCUGAAGAGGGACUUCCCGGGCUACCAAAACAGCCCAGCCUGCAGCAGGUGCGUUUAACCCUGCCAGAGGCAAGGAUGCAAUUCACCUUCUCCAUUAUUCAGCAUUUCAGUAAUUCCCAGCAAAAACCGCGGAGUGCAGGGCGUUAAACGCCUGCAUAAUGCAUGGAGCCGCUGGAACGUGUCGGCCUGAUUAAGCUGAGCCUUUCUAAAACUUCGGGAGCGAUGCAGCACGGCCCGACCUGCGGUGAGCUGCGCUGAAGGGGUGGAGUGAGCACGGAGCCCGGCAGGGAGAGGGGCUUUGAGCGACCCCCGGGAGAGUCGGCGCCAGAAGGCUCCGUGCCUUGGUGUCUUGGGAGCACUUCUGGCUGCCCACAGUGCCACAUCACUGCCACCAACCUGCCCACACACCAGCAACCCUGGCAGCCAACUGGUUUCUGACCCCUCUUAUAAAAGCUGGGCAAAGUAUUACGGGAAACUUUUAACUGAGAUGAAAUAUCAGCAUUACAUGGACUGCAGAACUACGGAGGCAGAUGCUGGCACAGACCAAAACAAGAAGGACUGUUGGGGUGUGUGUGUGCCAUCAUCCCUUCUCUUCCUCCAUUCCCAGAGCAUGCACACACAGGCACACGGAGUCUACACGAACGUGCACAAACCUUCACACACGGGCAAACACGUACUCCCCCACCCCUCGGGGUGACACUUUUAUAUACUGGCAUUUUUGGCGGACUGCAGAUGUUUAGCAAUUAAUUAUCCCUUAAUUGAAGCAAAAAAGGAGCAGCAGGAGGAGAAAGCUUUAAUCCCAGAGAAGCAGCUAAAGGAUCCUGUUGACCAAGCAGUUUUCCCGAAGCCACAACAGAGGGAGACACCGGAUAUUACACAAGAUUUAUCAAAUUCGAAAAGAUAUCUUCUUAAUUGAAGUACUAGCUGUGUUUCCAUCACAAGGACUAUGCACCCUCUUGUUACUCCUAUCAGCAAUAUCUAGUGUAACAUGCUGUUUGGAAAUCCAGCGAUUCAUGCAGAUACGGCUGCUUUACAUAUCUACAGAGCAGAGAAUCUCCCCACCUAACGCUACAGGUCUUUUGUCAUUACUGGAGCUGCAACCAUUUGCAUCUUCAGCAGGAUCCCUCAGCCUGGAAUUGGGCACCUCUCAAGUGAGGUGUGAAAGGAAUGCACUUUUUAGACAUCAUUAUAAGUCCUCCAUUCUCAAAUCAAUUCACUAAAUAUUCUGAGUAAUGAAGACCAAAAGGAAAGCUGAGAAAGAGAGAAGACAUCCAAGAAUCUGCUGAUACAGGUGUUUAAUAUACUGGUACCAAAAUAAAAUCCUUUUGUCAUUCUCUCCAGAGACUUUUUUCUUUCCCCUUUCUCAGAAGUAUUUAAAUAGACAUAGAUUUGGCAAAGCAUUUUAGGGAAAAUUAGCUCAUCUCAGAGUGCUCUCAAGCUCGUGACUCACCGCAUGUGUGUGAAGUCAUUCAACUCAGUGCAAUCACGUUCUCAAAUGAGGCAGGAUCAGGACACCACAAACAGAGCCAUCACUGCAACAAGGACUUACAGCACAAGCUAAACCCACUCCUUGUUUGCCUUUCAGCAGGACAGCAACAGUCAGGCCUCCUA